This 460-nucleotide ribosomal RNA is filed under the name uncultured bacterium. Its description in RNAcentral is "partial 16S ribosomal RNA". It matches the Rfam family "Bacterial small subunit ribosomal RNA", at positions 338 to 795 of the family's 1533-position model. The record is from RNAcentral.
CCUACGGGAGACAGCAGUGAGGAAUAUUGGUCAAUGGGCGGGAGCCUGAACCAGCCAAGUCGCGUGAGGGAAGACGGUCCUAUGGAUUGUAAACCUCUUUAGGCGGGGAGCAAUGCCGGGCACGCGUGCCCGGAGGGAGAGUACCCGCAGAAUAAGCAUCGGCUAACUCCGUGCCAGCAGCCGCGGUAAUACGGACGAUGCUAGCGUUAUCCGGAUUUAUGGGGUUUAAAGGGUGCGUAGGAGGAUUUUUAAGUCAGCGGUAAAAUGUCCGGGCUCAACCCGGGCCGGCCGUUGAAACUGGGGAUCUUGAGUGGGCGAGAAGUAUGCGGAAUGCGUGGUGUAGCGGUGAAAUGCAUAGAUAUCACGCAGAACUCCGAUUGCGAAGGCAGCAUACCGGCGCCCGACUGACGCUGAGGCACGAAAGCGUGGGGAUCGAACAGGAUUAGAUACCCUUGUAGUC